Molecule: ribosomal RNA, 546 nt
Filed under: uncultured bacterium
Lineage: Bacteria
Description: bacterial SSU rRNA
Rfam family: Bacterial small subunit ribosomal RNA
Source: RNAcentral
ACCGGCGCACGGGUGCGUAACGCGUAUGCAAUCUACCUUUUGCUAAGGGAUAGCCCAGAGAAAUUUGGAUUAAUACCUUAUAGUAUGAUGACUUGGCAUCAAGAUAUCAUUAAAGGUUACGGCAAAAGAUGAGCAUGCGUUCUAUUAGCUAGUUGGUGUGGUAACGGCAUACCAAGGCAACGAUAGAUAGGGGUCCUGAGAGGGAGAUCCCCCACACUGGUACUGAGACACGGACCAGACUCCUACGGGAGGCAGCAGUGAGGAAUAUUGGACAAUGGAGGCAACUCUGAUCCAGCCAUGCCGCGUGCAGGAAGACUGCCCUAUGGGUUGUAAACUGCUUUUAUACAGGAAGAAACACCUCUACGUGUAGAGAUUUGACGGUACUGUAAGAAUAAGGAUCGGCUAACUCCGUGCCAGCAGCCGCGGUAAUACGGAGGAUCCAAGCGUUAUCCGGAAUCAUUGGGUUUAAAGGGUCCGUAGGUGGAUAAUUAAGUCAGAGGUGAAAUCCUGCAGCUUAACUGUAGAAUUGCCUUUGAUACUGGUUGU